This 284-nucleotide long non-coding RNA is filed under the name Linum usitatissimum (flax). RNAcentral describes it as "long non-coding RNA (LUSI_LNC001615)". Lineage: Eukaryota; Viridiplantae; Streptophyta; Magnoliopsida; Malpighiales; Linaceae. The record is from RNAcentral.
AAAAGUCAGUAUCUACUCCAAUAAAUUCAAGCCUUUUAUUUAAUUAAAUAAACAAUCUUUCUGAUUUAUUGAGUGUCAAGUUGUUCUUCUAUGUAUGUUAACAAUAGUCAAGCACAAUUCCAUUGAGAGAAGAUGAUGAUGAGGCUAUGAAUAUCAAAGGGCUUAAAGAAGAUACCAGAAGCUUCCUGAGUAGAAUGCCUGUCGUGCAGAAGAGAAGUUUUGUUCCGUCGUUCCUGAACAGUCAGACACAAGAAUGAAUUACUGCAGAAUUCCAGAAAUCAGAA